RNAcentral lists this ribosomal RNA (345 nucleotides) under uncultured Lachnospiraceae bacterium. RNAcentral describes it as "partial 16S ribosomal RNA". Lineage: Bacteria; Bacillati; Bacillota; Clostridia; Lachnospirales; Lachnospiraceae. The record is from RNAcentral.
GGAGUUUGGGCCGUGUCUCAGUCCCAAUGUGGCCGGUCGCCCUCUCAGGUCGGCUACUGAUCGUCGCUUUGGUGGGCCGUUACCCCGCCAACUGGCUAAUCAGACGCGGGACCAUCCUAUACCGUCGGAGCUUUUCACACUGCGCCAUGCGGCACCGUGCGCUUAUGCGGUAUUAGCAGCCGUUUCCGGCUGUUAUCCCCCUGUAUAGGGCAGGUUUCCCACGCGUUACUCACCCGUCCGCCACUAAGUCGUCCCAAUUGAAUCUACUUUGAGCAAGCUCUCCAUUUCAUCGGGCGGGACGCUUCGUUCGACUUGCAUGUGUUAAGCACGCCGCCAGCGUUCAUC